UACGGAGGGUGCAAGCGUUAUCCGGAUUCACUGGGUUUAAAGGGUGCGUAGGCGGGUAGGUAAGUCAGUGGUGAAAUCCUGGAGCUCAACUCCAGAACUGCCAUUGAUACUAUCUAUCUUGAAUAUUGUGGAGGUAAGCGGAAUAUGCCAUGUAGCGGUGAAAUGCUUAGAUAUGACAUAGAACACCCAUUGCGAAGGCAGCUUACUACGCAUAUAUUGACGCUGAGGCACGAAAGCGUGGGGAUCAAACAGGAUUAGAUACCCUGGUAGUCCACGCCCUAAACGAUGGAUACUCGACAUACGCGAUACACUGUGUGUGUCUGAGCGAAAGCAUUAAGUAUCCCACCUGGGAAGUACGUUCGCAAGAAUGAAACUCAAAGGAAUUGGCGGGGGUCCGCACAAGCGGUGGAGUAUGUGGUUUAAUUCGAUGAUACGCGAGGAACCUUACCUGGGCUAGAAUGCUGGGAGACCGCUAGUGAAAGCUAGUUUUGUAGCAAUACACUGCCAGUAAGGUGCUGCAUGGCCGUCGUCAGCUCGUGCCGUGAGGUGUUGGGUUAAGUCCCGCAACGAGCGCAACCCCUAUCUUUAGUUGCCAACAGGUAAUGCUGGGAACUCUAAAGAAACUGCCGCCGUAAGGUGUGAGGAAGGAGGGGAUGAUGUCAGGUCAUCAUGGCCUUUAUGCCCAGGGCUACACACGUACUACAAUGGGGAAGACAAAGGGCUGCAACAUAGCGAUAUGAAGCCAAUCCCAAAAACUUCCUCUCAGUUCAGAUUGCAGGCUGCAACUCGCCUGCAUGAAGCUGGAAUCGCUAGUAAUCGUAUAUCAGCAAUGAUACGGUGAAUACGUUCCCGGACCU
This 857-nucleotide ribosomal RNA is filed under the name uncultured bacterium. Its description in RNAcentral is "SSU rRNA". It matches the Rfam family "Bacterial small subunit ribosomal RNA", at positions 524 to 1381 of the family's 1533-position model. The record is from RNAcentral.